This 1090-nucleotide long non-coding RNA is filed under the name Capra hircus (goat). Its description in RNAcentral is "lncRNA (ENSCHIG00010000276.1)". The record is from RNAcentral. Lineage: Eukaryota; Metazoa; Chordata; Mammalia; Artiodactyla; Bovidae.
CAGCUCCUGUGGCCUCAAGGUGAUUCCUGAAUCUCCUCACGUAGGUGUCCAUUUCCUGACUUGGAAAAAUGGAAGGUGGGCACUUUACCUUGUUGACUGGGCUGCCAGUAAGCUCAGGGUACUAGGGUGGCUUAGCAUAGGCUGCGACUGUCCUUAGAGAAGUGGGACUGCUUCCUCCUCAUCAAUCUGUCCUUCAGUUCAGUCUCUCAGUCGUGCCCAACUCUUGCGACCCCAUGGACUGCUGCGCGCCAGGCUUCCCUGUCCAUCACCAACUCCCGGAGUUUGCCUAAACUCAUGUCCAUCGAGUCAGUGAUGCCNNNNNNNNNNNNNNNNNNNNNNNNNNNNNNNNNNNNNNNNNNNNGCUCCUCCCCUUCCAAAUUCCCACAUCCCCACUCUCCUGCCAGGCCCGGGGCCAGCGGGUGGGGCUGGCUGGGGCCCAACUGGCCUUGCUCAACUUAUCCAGCCUUUCCUGUGUCUUGCCCUGGCCAAGGCUUGGAUUCUGCUGGGCUCUAUCGGGACACACCCUGUGCCGGUUGCUGGGCUGGGGGAGGGAUGGCAAGAGUGGGCCCCUGCUUCAAAGUGCUCUCGACCAAGAGGAGGAGGGAGCCGGGAGGUGACACCCCAGGCCAGCAGUUGCAGGGAUGGCUUUGAGAGCUGUGGGGUUUCCCCAAGCUGGAGUAGACUUUCUGGGAAAACCCCCUGGAGGACUUCGGGUGGCUUGGGACUGCAAACGGAGGUAACCUGACUGCAGGGUUAAGGCACCACUGCAAACCAGCAGGACGGUGGCAGCUCCAGGUGGGGCUUUUAGUCUGGCAGAGGACUGGAUCGUGGGAAACUCGGGUUCUUGGGCCUCCAGGAGGCAGGAAGACUAGCUUUGGGGCCACUGAAAAGACCAAGAGGGGAAGACCCGGGGGGAGCCCUGGGGACUUCUCAGAGCAAGCCGGUGGUCUCCAUCGGCCUCAGUUGAACGUUUCUGUCCCAGUCAGCAGCAAUCUUCCACCCUGGACGGCCAGAGAGUCCAGUGGUACUGGUGGGGCUGGCAGGAUGGUCGUCACAGCUUUGUCACAGUGGCCCCGUUAAACUGCCCCCA